AUCGACGUAGUUUGAUCAUGGCUCAGAAUCAACGCUGGCGGCGUGCCUCAGACAUGCAAGUCGAACGAUUAAAGCUCUCUUCGGAGAGUGUAUAGAGUGGCGCACGGGUGAGUAACACGUAAGUAAUCUACCCUCGAGUGGGGAAUAACAACCGGAAACGGUUGCUAAUACCGCAUAAUGCAGCGGCACCGCAAGGUGACAGUUGUUAAAGAUUUAUCGCUUGAGGAGGAGCUUGCGGCAGAUUAGCUAGUUGGUAGGGUAACGGCUUACCAAGGCUACGAUCUGUAACCGGUCUAAGAGGACGGUCGGUCACACUGACACUGAAUAACGGGUCAGACUCCUACGGGAGGCAGCAGUCGGGAAUUUUGGGCAAUGGGCGAAAGCCUGACCCAGCAACGCCGCGUGAAGGAUGAAGUAUUUCGGUAUGUAAACUUCGAAAGAAUAGGAAGAAUUAAUGACGGUACUAUUUAUAAGGUCCGGCUAACUACGUG
This 491-nucleotide ribosomal RNA is filed under the name uncultured bacterium. Its description in RNAcentral is "bacterial SSU rRNA". It matches the Rfam family "Bacterial small subunit ribosomal RNA", at positions 1 to 507 of the family's 1533-position model. The record is from RNAcentral.